CGAAUGGGUGCGUAACACGUGGGAAUUUACCCGGAAGUGGGGGAUAGCUCGUCGAAAGGCGAAUUAAUACCGCAUGUGCCCGUGAGGGCAAAGUGGGGGACCGCAAGGCCUCACGCUACCGGAGGAGCCCGCGUCCUAUCAGCUAGUUGGCGGGGUAACGGCCCACCAAGGCGAAGACGGGUAGCUGGUCUGAGAGGACGACCAGCCGCACUGGAACUGAGACACGGUCCGGACACCUACGGGUGGCAGCAGUCGAGGAUUUUUCUCAAUGGGGGCAACCCUGAAGGAGCGACGCCGCGUGGAGGAUGAAGGGCUUCGGCUUGUAAACUCCUGUCACCGACGAACAAGGCAUCCGGUUGAACAUUCCGGGUGAUUGAUGGUAGUCGGAGAGGAAGGGGCGGCUAACUCUGUGCCAGCAGCCGCGGUGAUACAGAGGCCCCGAGCGUUGUUCGGAUUUACUGGGCGUAAAGGGUGUGUAGGGGGUCGGGUAAGUUUGACGUGAAAGCCCGCUGCUUAACAGCGGAACGGCGUCGAAUACUGCCCGGCUAGAGGUUCGGAGAUGAGAGCGGAAUUCUCGGUGUAGCGGUGAAAUGCGUAGAUAUCGAGAGGAACGCCGACGGCGAAAGCAGCUCUCAAGACGACACCUGACCCUGAGACACGAAGGCCAGGGGAGCAAACGGGAUUAGAUACCCCGGUAGUCCUGGCAGUAAACGGUGCUCAUUAGACGUGGGCGGAUUCGACCCCGCCCGUGUCGAACCUAACGGAUUAAAUGAGCCGCCUGGGAAGUGCGGUCGCAAGAUUAAAACUCAAAGAAAUUGACGGGGGCCCGCACAAGCGGUGGAGUAUGUGGCUUAAUUCGAUGCAACGCGAAGAACCUUACCUGGCCUUGACAUGCUGAGUUCAGGCGUGGAAACACGCUGGCCCGCAAGGGCGAUCUGCACAGGUGCUGCAUGGCUGUCGUCAGCUCGUGUCGUGAGAUGUUGGGUUAAGUCCCGCAACGAGCGCAACCCUCGUGACUAGUUAAUCCCGGGCAACCGGAUUCUGGUCAGACUGCCCUGUG
RNAcentral lists this ribosomal RNA (1060 nucleotides) under uncultured bacterium. RNAcentral describes it as "bacterial SSU rRNA". It matches the Rfam family "Bacterial small subunit ribosomal RNA", at positions 99 to 1158 of the family's 1533-position model. The record is from RNAcentral.